RNAcentral lists this long non-coding RNA (1016 nucleotides) under Anolis carolinensis (green anole). RNAcentral describes it as "lncRNA (ENSACAG00000035335.1)". Lineage: Eukaryota; Metazoa; Chordata; Lepidosauria; Squamata; Anolidae. The record is from RNAcentral.
AUGUUCCAGAAGUAUUCUCUCCUGACGUUUCACCCACAUUUAUGGCAGGCAUCCUCAGAGGUUGUGAGGUAUGGAGAAACUCAGCAAGGAAAGGAAAGAAUAUAUAUCUGUGUAGAGUCCAGGGUGUGGCAAGAGUCCUUUGUCACUGGGAAGCCAGCAUUAAUGUUUCAGUUAAUCACCCUAAUUAGCAUUGGAAAUUUAUCCAUACCUCACAACCUCUGAGGAUGCCUGCCAUAGAUGUGGGCGAAACGUCAGGAGGGAAUACUUCUGGAACAUGGCCACACAGCCCGAAAGACAUACAACAACUCUGUGAUCUCGGCCAUGAAAGCCUUCGACAACACAAUUGAAGCAUUACUUGCCCCUCUUGGGGAUGGAAUAAAAAGCAUGUGCUCCCACCAAUAGUGCAUCCCAUGGAGUGUGGUGAUUAUUAGGAGAGGACAGCAGGUGUGAGAGGAGGAAUUUAAUCUUCCCUUCCUUGCUUAAGCCUUGACGAGAAAAUCUAUUCUUUGAAGUUGCAUUUGCAAUGCUGCCUGUAGAUUUUUCUCCUCCAGAAUGCAAAUAGCAGGUUCAGAGAAGGGAUUUUCCAUACCUUGGGGCCAGUUUACUCAUUAGUUAUUCACCACUUCAUGACUUCAGAACUAAAUGCACAAAUUAUUCCUUUUUCGGCUUAAGAAUUAAAUGAUCAGAUCAAAUAAUAAAAGGGUUUCCAUACCUCAACCCAAUAAUCCCUGUUCAUUAGGCCUGUGUGAUCAAUGAAAAAAAUGUUUCAAUACUCAUUACAAAAUUAGGGUGAGGAAAAGCAUGAGGGAAGUGUUGUGUUUAUGAUGGGGUUAGUAGGACAACUGAGAAAAACUACAGCCACAGCUUAACCAUACCUCAAGUGGAGGGGAAAAAAAAGCAAUGGACAAGAAAAAUACAGAUUGGGGAUAGCUUUAAACGCCACUACAACUAGCAACAAACCAUAUCCAGAAUGGAUUUUAGGGAGCCUCUGGAUUUCCCUUAUUUUAAACAACUUA